UCCAACUUUUUCGCCUCUUACUCUUAUGAAUCAAUGGUAGUCUUAUGGUUUGAUAUAGAAGAGAUUGUUCAUGCUUUUUUCUAGGCAGGCGAAUAGGUUCAAUAAAAAAUAUUAGCCUUUCCUUCAAGUCCUCAGUGUCCCUACAUUUUGUAUAACAAAAAUCCUUCGUAAUUGAAUCAACCAGCAUUUCUAUAUCUAGCUCUAGCUUUUUAAUCGACAUUAUUACAAUUUUUUAAAAUUUUUUCAUUCUAAGCAGGAGACAAAAUAAGUUGGUAUUAUCCAUUCCUAUUUCUUCGUCGGAACUAUCACAGUGCAAAUAAAAACCCAAAUAUUUUGAUAGUAAGAAAUCAUGUUCUCCCUUUAGAUCGGUCCUGUAUUUAGAAUCUGAUCCUUUAUAAUAGUAUGAGCCAGAUUUAAGAUCUUCAUCUACUGUAUUCACGUAUUCUUCUGUUGUUAACUCUAAAUUAUCAAGCUGCAAAACAAAGAAUUUUAUUGGUAAGAUCCAAGGAUUCAUCUUAUAUGCACAAUAAAAUUUGCUUAAUUUUGAAAAGAACCAAAAUCCGGGAAUAAGGAAGUUAUUCUUCGGUAUAGAAGUCUUUUUCCUUUUUACAUUCAUUCCCAUCCAAUUGAAAUACUUUCUAUCC
This is a long non-coding RNA of Medicago truncatula (barrel medic), 644 nucleotides long. RefSeq lists it as uncharacterized. NCBI's taxonomy places the organism in Eukaryota, Viridiplantae, Streptophyta, Magnoliopsida, Fabales, Fabaceae. The transcript is spliced from 2 exons. The record is from RefSeq and is a predicted model, not a curated record.